RNAcentral lists this ribosomal RNA (464 nucleotides) under Vreelandella stevensii. RNAcentral describes it as "partial 16S ribosomal RNA". It matches the Rfam family "Bacterial small subunit ribosomal RNA", at positions 338 to 794 of the family's 1533-position model. Lineage: Bacteria; Pseudomonadati; Pseudomonadota; Gammaproteobacteria; Oceanospirillales; Halomonadaceae. The record is from RNAcentral.
CCUACGGGAGGCUGCAGUGGGGAAUAUUGGACAAUGGGGGGAACCCUGAUCCAGCCAUGCCGCGUGUGUGAAGAAGGCCCUCGGGUUGUAAAGCACUUUCAGUGAGGAAGAACGCCUGGUGGUUAAUACCCAUCAGGAAAGACAUCACUCACAGAAGAAGCACCGGCUAACUCCGUGCCAGCAGCCGCGGUAAUACGGAGGGUGCGAGCGUUAAUCGGAAUUACUGGGCGUAAAGCGCGCGUAGGUGGCUUGAUAAGCCGGUUGUGAAAGCCCCGGGCUCAACCUGGGAACGGCAUCCGGAACUGUCAAGCUAGAGUGCAGGAGAGGAAGGUAGAAUUCCCGGUGUAGCGGUGAAAUGCGUAGAGAUCGGGAGGAAUACCAGUGGCGAAGGCGGCCUUCUGGACUGACACUGACACUGAGGUGCGAAAGCGUGGGUAGCAAACAGGAUUAGAUACCCCGGUAUC